AACGAACGCUGGCGGUAUGCUUAACACAUGCAAGUCGAACGAACAAAAUUGGGGCUUGCUCCAAUUUUAGUGAGUGGCAAACGGGUGAGUAACACGUGGGAAUCUACCUAUCAGUACGGAAUAACAUUUGGAAACAGAUGCUAAUACCGUAUAUUCUCCAAGGAGGAAAGAUUUAUCGCUGAUAGAUGAGCCCGCGCAAGAUUAGGUAGUUGGUAGGGUAAUGGCCUACCAAGCCUACGAUCUUUAGCUGGUCUGAGAGGAUGAUCAGCCACACUGGGACUGAGACACGGCCCAGACUCCUACGGGAGGCAGCAGUGGGGAAUAUUGGACAAUGGGCGAAAGCCUGAUCCAGCAAUACCGCGUGAAUGAUGAAGGCCUUAGGGUUGUAAAGUUCUUUUAGUUGGAAAGAUAGUGACGGUACCAACAGAAAAAGCCCCGGCUAACUCCGUGCCAGCAGCCGCGGUAA
This 466-nucleotide ribosomal RNA is filed under the name uncultured bacterium. RNAcentral describes it as "partial 16S ribosomal RNA". It matches the Rfam family "Bacterial small subunit ribosomal RNA", at positions 29 to 523 of the family's 1533-position model. The record is from RNAcentral.